This 424-nucleotide ribosomal RNA is filed under the name uncultured Megamonas sp. Its description in RNAcentral is "bacterial SSU rRNA". It matches the Rfam family "Bacterial small subunit ribosomal RNA", at positions 338 to 759 of the family's 1533-position model. The record is from RNAcentral. Lineage: Bacteria; Bacillati; Bacillota; Negativicutes; Selenomonadales; Selenomonadaceae.
CCUACGGGAGGCAGCAGUGAGGAAUAUUGGUCAAUGGACGAGAGUCUGAACCAGCCAAGUAGCGUGAAGGAUGACUGCCCUAUGGGUUGUAAACUUCUUUUAUACGGGAAUAAAGUGAGGCACGCGUGCCUUUUUGUAUGUACCGUAUGAAUAAGGAUCGGCUAACUCCGUGCCAGCAGCCGCGGUAAUACGGAGGAUCCGAGCGUUAUCCGGAUUUAUUGGGUUUAAAGGGAGCGUAGGCGGGUGCUUAAGUCAGUUGUGAAAGUUUGCGGCUCAACCGUAAAAUUGCAGUUGAUACUGGGUACCUUGAGUGCAGCAUAGGUAGGCGGAAUUCGUGGUGUAGCGGUGAAAUGCUUAGAUAUCACGAAGAACUCCGAUUGCGAAGGCAGCCUGCUAAGCUGCAACUGACAUUGAGGCUCGAAAG